Molecule: non-coding RNA, 44 nt
Filed under: Trypanosoma brucei brucei
Lineage: Eukaryota; Euglenozoa; Kinetoplastea; Trypanosomatida; Trypanosomatidae
Source: RNAcentral
AAACACAGCAAGAGACGGAUAAAGAAGAUAUCUAUGGUACUAUA